Molecule: long non-coding RNA, 719 nt
Filed under: Ricinus communis (castor bean)
Lineage: Eukaryota; Viridiplantae; Streptophyta; Magnoliopsida; Malpighiales; Euphorbiaceae
Description: long non-coding RNA (RCOM_LNC003113)
Source: RNAcentral
CUUGUGCAACCUCAAGGAGAUGAACCAGGACUUUACUUGACAUGGAAAGAAGAACCAGUAGUAUGGGCUUCAGCAUGGAAACCCUAGCAAAAACAUUAAAAGAAAAAAGAGAAGAAGAAGAAGAAGGAGAAGAAGAAAACAAAAGAAAAAUGGUUAUGGCAAGUGGUAUGAUAGCAGUACCAUCUCUAUACGCUCAAGUCUCAGAGUAGUUUAUGAUGAUGAUCAUGGCAAUUUAUUCAGAAGGGAGGAGUUUAGAUUUGCUGCCAUGAAGAUAGAUUGAUCAUGAUGCAGUUUUUUAUUACUUUCAUUUCCAAAUGCUAUUCUCAUCAAAGAAGAAUAAUUCAUGCAUAUUUUGUAUUUUAUCUGAUGUCCAGGUACUUUUUAUUUCCUUUUUCUUCAUCUGCUUUAUGCUUGGGAGUUUGUGUUGCUUUUAAACUGCUUUCUUUAGAUCAUUGUAUUUGUUUGUUUGAAGGUGUUUGCACUUGUAUCUCCUUUUCUUCAGUGCCAUACCAAUCCCCAUUUCCCUUUUGGAUUGCUUGCUUAAGAUCUUUCUUCUCAACCCUUCUCUGGGGGAAUUCAUUUGUAACCAAAAUUAACUGCUACUGUGCUUGCUUCUAAAUUUGAAUAUCUUUAAUGAUGAUUUAUGUAUAUCCAUGUUGACAACUUUUUCUUCAUUUAUUUUAUGGUGUACCAUCUAAUUAAUUUAGAGUGUGUCGGAG